AGCGAACGCUGGCGGCAGGCUUAACACAUGCAAGUCGAGCGGGCACUUCGGUGUCAGCGGCAGACGGGUGAGUAACACGUGGGAACGUACCCUUUGGUUCGGAAUAACGCUGGGAAACUAGCGCUAAUACCGGAUACGCCCUUUUGGGGAAAGGCUUGCUGCCGAAGGAUCGGCCCGCGUCUGAUUAGCUAGUUGGUGGGGUAAUGGCCUACCAAGGCGACGAUCAGUAGCUGGUCUGAGAGGAUGAUCAGCCACACUGGGACUGAGACACGGCCCAGACUCCUACGGGAGGCAGCAGUGGGGAAUAUUGGACAAUGGGCGCAAGCCUGAUCCAGCCAUGCCGCGUGAGUGAUGAAGGCCCUAGGGUUGUAAAGCUCUUUUGUCCGGGACGAUAAUGACGGUACCGGAAGAAUAAGCCCCGGCUAACUUCGUG
This 433-nucleotide ribosomal RNA is filed under the name uncultured bacterium. RNAcentral's name for it is "partial 16S ribosomal RNA". It matches the Rfam family "Bacterial small subunit ribosomal RNA", at positions 29 to 507 of the family's 1533-position model. The record is from RNAcentral.